UCUCAGUGAUGUAAUUUCAAUAGAUCCAUCUGACCCUCCACUGUAGAACAGCCAGGAGGGUGGUGACUGAGAGA
This 74-nucleotide small nucleolar RNA is filed under the name Carlito syrichta (Philippine tarsier). The record is from RNAcentral. Lineage: Eukaryota; Metazoa; Chordata; Mammalia; Primates; Tarsiidae.